Long non-coding RNA from Rattus rattus (black rat), 398 nucleotides. RefSeq lists it as uncharacterized. The record is from RefSeq and is a predicted model, not a curated record. The transcript has 3 exons. NCBI's taxonomy places the organism in Eukaryota, Metazoa, Chordata, Mammalia, Rodentia, Muridae.
AAAACAACCAUUAAAGCAAGGACUGCUACACUUGAGAGUCCAACAUCUCAGAAUACCUGAAGUUCCUCCCUUCUAGGAUGCAUCGUUACCUAAGCCUUCCUGAUUCCUGUGUACAGGCAGUGCCACAAGCUAAACCAGCAGGAACAUGGAGCUGUGUCAUGUUCUGACGUCUGCAUCACACCUCUCUUCAAAUUCUCGUUCUGCUUUGAUGAAGAGCUGAGUCACCCAGGAGGUGAGCAGCACUCAUUGGCCACACUCUCCUACUAUUCUGCACGUGCUGUGACAGACCCAAAGCCACAGGACUAAAUGACCUCGAGCUGAGAACUCUCGAACUGUGAUAAAUGUACUUGAGAAAUAAGACUAUUUAUGUCCUCUUAUCCCUUUGCAGUCUCACUAUU